RNAcentral lists this non-coding RNA (26 nucleotides) under Homo sapiens (human). Lineage: Eukaryota; Metazoa; Chordata; Mammalia; Primates; Hominidae. The record is from RNAcentral.
UCCUUCGGGGGUUGUAGGAAACGGGC